RNAcentral lists this long non-coding RNA (341 nucleotides) under Nicotiana benthamiana. Its description in RNAcentral is "long non-coding RNA (NBEN_LNC012038)". The record is from RNAcentral. Lineage: Eukaryota; Viridiplantae; Streptophyta; Magnoliopsida; Solanales; Solanaceae.
UAAUAACUAAAAUUUCAUUCCUGAAAAUAAUAAUCAAGAUAAGAAAUAUAGCAACAAAUAAAAGUAUUUGUAUUUCAAUAAUUUACGCGGGUUACAAUCUCUGAACAAUCUUAAGUUUAAAAGAUGUAAUCCUCUUAUUCUUUUCCUCACGACCGUCAAUUCGAGAUCUUCGUUUGUUCUUGAAUUGAUGGACCACUUGUUGUUGGGAUUUGACCACGAAUGUGGAGCUAGGCUUUGAUCCCAAACGUGGAGGAUGCAAACUUGCGACUCACCCCUUGGAGACGAAGAUUUCUUGCUAUGUGGAAGACUUGCGAAUCACCACUGUAGAGGAGAGCUUCAAU